RNAcentral lists this unclassified non-coding RNA (288 nucleotides) under plant metagenome. RNAcentral's name for it is "partial contains 5.8S ribosomal RNA, internal transcribed spacer 2, and large subunit ribosomal RNA". The record is from RNAcentral.
AUCGACUCCUCAAGGUGAUGGUCGAGGAAGGGCCGUCGGUCGCGAAAUGGAUGCUGGAGCUCGGGGUGCUGUUCGAUCGCGAUCCGGACGGCAAUCUCCAUGUCAAAAAGGGGGGUGGCAGCUCGAAGCCGCGUCUGCUGACCUGCUCAGACUAUACCGGUCUGGAAAUCAUGCGGGUGCUGAAAGAUGAGGUGCUGAACCAGAAGAUUCAGCUGCUCGAGUUCAGUGCGGCGGUUGAGCUGCUGAGCGACGACGCUGGCGCCUGUACUGGGGCGGUGCUGCAGGAUC